GUUACUAAGAGUUUGUACUAAACAAAUACCACCAAAGUUAUUAUAAACAGGACAUACAAUACCUUUCACAUCCUUUUGUGCAGCCAUGUGGGUCUCUACUCUAUAAACACUUAAAACAAGAAAAAAAAACAGUCCAUUUUGUAUCAGUGUUUGGUUUUAGGAAGGAUGUGUGCAAAACAAACCAUUUGAAAUGGUUUUUGAUUAUGACAUCGCAAAUGGGGAAAUUAGAAUAGAACCACAUCUACAAUGCAAGAGAGAGCUGCUACUGGAGAUCUAAGAUAAGCCCCUCUAAGAUACUGGAGCUUCUCAGCUUAUAGCAGCCUGAGUGGGGGAUGGGUGGGCGUGGCCAGCUCAACCUUGUUUUCUUAAAGCGACAGAACCCUGAAUCUGCUCAUUCUGGAAAGUACCGAAUCUGUCGAGAAUGAAUUUCUGAAAUUGCUUCAUGUGAGAGGAAUUUAGUGCAACGAACCUAAUGAACUGACCAUAGAAAUGUUAUAACCUAAAAAGUCACAGCAUGUCUGCUUUAACAUUUGCAGUGGGGUUUGUUUGGACAGAGACAAAAACACAUGCAUGAUACACAGACUCACCUCACCUCUGGACACCGUUUUAAAGUUUUAAAACUGCAAAACAAACACACAAAUGAUCUUCUGAGUACAACUUUGCCACCAUAAUGUCUUUUAAAGUUGCAUUACUUUUACUGCUUUUGAAAUAAAAACAGAUGAUUGUCUGUUAAUUUUCUUUGAAACCGCCUGGCAUGCCUUGGUGUCACAAGUGUAAGUCACAUGGGCAGCAUCACUGUAUCUCUAUGUAAACAGAUCCCAGCAUGCUAAAUCAAAGCCUGCUCCAUCUCUCUGUGAGGCAACACUCCUAACCAUUCUGCUUCUGUGACACCAUCUGCUGGGUACAGUAUGUGCUGAGUCCAUAGAGCCUUGUUAGAAAGCUCUUUACGUGGGCAGAGAGCCACAGUUACAACAGAUAACCAUUAUUUCUAACCACAGGCGUCCCUUAACUUAAAAAUAGCACAAGCAGAUCUUCCAGAACGGACUACUCUGUGGUCACAAGACUCCAAUAACAUCAGAGUUAUCAUGCCACGACGACCCAAUGGUCCAGCUCCCAGAUGGUUCAGGAAAUAUCGGACGUGUCUUCUUCUCUCCUCCCUUAGUGUGCUGAGUGCACAUUAGCCCGACCUGUAAAAAAAUGUACGUAAUUGCCUUUGCAAUUACAUUUGUCAACAUCACAGAUCUGCUGUUUAAUUUUUGGUCCUGAAGACUGAAAGAUGGGUGUGUAUUGUGUAGAAGAAACUGGCUUGGCUCACACUGUAAAAAAAGUCAGUAGAAUUAACAGGAAAAUUUCGUAAAAUCUCAACAAAAAAAAGUUGUGGAGCACAAUACAGUGUUAUGGUGUUUAUUUUACAGCAUGAUGUUGUAUAAUGUUGAACAGACAAUUAUUGUAAUUUUUAAAAUAAAAAAUGUGAAUACUAUUGUAUUUUCAUGUGAAAAACACAGAUUUGUGCAAUUUGUACAGAGAAAAGUUGUAACUUUAGAAACAACAUAAAUUGUAUUUUUUUACAUUUUUAUGAUGUAAAAAAUACACAAUUUAUAUUGUUUUUAAAGAUACAACAUUUCUCUGUACAGUAUUGUGAUUAUUAAAUUAUGAAUUUAGUGUUUGGCUGAUUGACUGGAUGUCAAAUUUUAUAGGCAGCACAUUUGUUUCUCCAUGAAAAUCAGACCAAAACAAUCCAGCAAGUUUCAAAGCCCAGAUUUAUAGUGUUUCGGAUUCUCUGUAUCGUUUACAAACUUUUUCUAUUUCAUCAAUAUUUCUUACCAACAUCUAUUCUAAGUGUUCCUGUUACCAUGAAAUUUUACAUUUUCAGUAAUAAUUUAUAAAAAAUAAAUACAUUUUUAACAAUUGCAGUUCCCCUCCUCAUCUGCUAGGGGCUGGUUCCAGAUAUCAAGUUCCUAUUGAGUCCCAUGUUAAAAAUGCCAAAUACACAGCAGAAAAUAAUGUUUACAGGUACAAAAAAAUACCUUACCCAAUGACAGUGAUGGACUGAGUGGGUUGAGCCUGCAAUUGUCUGAUCAUGGAGCAGACACUUAACGCUUCUGCCACGUAACCAGAAGUAGAUGGGUUUGACUUAGGCUCCCCAUUUUCCAGGAGUGACAAGACAGAUGACAAGGCCAAGAUGGCAGUGGUGGGACUGGCCCACUGGGCUUCAGUUCAUCUCUUCAGAAACCCACCAGUGAUGGCACAGAUUAUUAGUCAUUGUGUGACCCAGGAUUUUAGGGGCUCCAACAGAAUGCGUAUAGUGGUUGUAAAAAUAAUUUGAACAGAUAAAGAUUUCAUGCAUUCAAGUUUUGCCUUAUUUCCUUGUCCCAAGUGCAUUAAAUAAAACACAUUUAUCAAAAAGGCUGUAGCAAAUAAUCACGUUUCACUUUACCCUUAGUCGAUGAUAUAAGAUACAUUUUAUAAUGCAGAAAAUCAAAGUGAAGCAAUUGUCUUUGCAAAACUGAAAGUAAAUAAAUGAAUAUAUGAGGAAAUAAAUAAAUAAAUGAGGAACUAAAACUAAAAAUAGAAAGAAAUAAACUAAUAAAUAGAUUAAACAAAGUUCUAACAAAACAUUUAAUUAUAAAUAAAUUUAUGUCAAUGACAUAAAUUUAUUUAUAUAAUUAAACAAUGACAUAAUGUCAUUGUUUAAUUAUUUCCAAUAGUAUUUUCUCAUUUAUUUGUUUUUGUUCUAUUUUUCAUUUUUGGCAGCAUCAGCCUUCCGUACAUCAUGCCGUCACAAACGGAGACAACACCCAACUCAACUGGAACAUUAUACUGAGUUCUUUGCUACAAUCUCAAAAUUUCCCCCACUGUGGCCAAUAUAGGUGCAAGGCUAGUGAUUUGUAAGGUAUGUAGCUCAUGGCAGAAGACACUUCACUCUUCCAGCUCUCCGUUCUGCCCUCGUUCUCGCGUGACUUCCGUUUGGAUGAAGUUUGAAUUAACGGCUCUGACUCAGGCUGAAUUCCGCCCGAAAAUUUUCUCCCGAGGACCCACAGGACCACGUCAACGUCAAGUGUCUGUAAGCUAACUUUCAUUUCCUUAAAAUGUAAAAAGCACAGUGGUUUGUUUUUAGGGGAUUUUUUUUCUUUUUUGUUUCAUCGUGCAGCAAAGCUAGUUAGCUUAGCUUUACCGGAGCUGUAGCACUUUGAAGUUUUCUAGCAUUGUUUAAACAUGCUUGUCUGCACAUUUUGCAGUAAAACUUUACAGUCACUGAGGGGCUAUGUGUUGCACUGCAGAGUGCACAGAAACGAACCUAGUUGUUUAUUCAAAUGCCUCGGCACUGAAUGCAAACGGACAUUUUGUACAUAUGCAGCAUUUAAAACUCAUUUUUACCGAGUUCACAACGUGCUUUCACAUCCUGAAUCAGCUAAAGCCGUUGUUGAAAACUUGAAGUGCGCCAUUUCGUUGUGUGGGCGCCAAAGUCAAACCGUGCAAGAACUUGUUGCUCAUUUAAAGGAGCAUAUAAUGGAGGGACGGCCUGUUGCGUGUCCAGUAAAAGGCUGUAAAAAGAAUUUUACUGUUAAAUCGUCAUUCACAGCUCAUAUGUCCCGUAAACAUAGAGGCUUUACUGCGCUCAAUAUUGAUGCUUUGUACAAGGAAAGCACAUUUCAGAUUUGUGGUGAGGCAGAAGAAGAUGGGCCAGGCGAGAGCCCAAAUGGCACACUGACAAAUGAAUUGUCUCCGAAUUUCAGUGAGGCUUUCCUCAGAAAUUUGUGUCAUUUCUACCUAAAACUUCAAGGACAGCUGCUUCUACCAGCAUCCUCAAUACAGACCAUCGUUGAAGAGAUGCAAAACGUACAUGAGCUGGGAAUGGAUUACACUUUGAGUAAACUGAAGUCACUUUUAAAAGAUGACAUUUGUCUAGCAGAUGAUGUUAUUGCUAAAGUAUGUGACUGCGUGAAAGAUUCAGAUCUUUUUUCUGUUUGUCAUCGAGGACCACUAAGAACAACAUAUUCAAGAGCACAUACAUUCAAAAAAGUGUUCAAAUACACAGAACCAAAACAAAUUAAUUUAGGGAAUGAUGAAAACAUGACUCAGAGAUUUUACUACUACAUACCCAUUAAACAGACACUAAGUAUACUUUUAGAAUCAGAAUUAUGGAAGAAUUCAGUGUUACAACAGUCCAGUGAAACAAACUCUGAUGUUUUCUAUGACAUAAGUGAUGGACAAAACUUUCAGUGCAACCAGUUCUUCAUUGAAAAUCCUGGGUGCCUGAAACUCAUUCUGUACCAAGAUGCCUUCGAAAUUGUAAAUCCUCUUGGUUCAGCUAAAAAGAAACACAAAGUUGUUGCUGUUUAUCUAUCUGUGGCUAACUUACCUGUUCAUGUCCGGUCAAGCACUGAUCACAUGUUUCUUGUUUCAUUGUGUGCAGAGAAAGAUUUAAAACAGUUUGGAACUGCUAAGAUUUUUUCAGAACUUCUCAUGGAUUUAAGAGAUUUAGAGGAAAACGGCAUUGUUGCAGGUGAAGAAAUUAUCAAAGGAGCACUCUUCUGUAUCGCUGGUGACAAUUUGGGAUCACACAGCAUCGGCGGGUUUACUGAAAACUUUAGUACCUCUAAGUACUUUUGUAGGUACUGUGAAAUCACACGUAAAGACUUUGAAAAUGAUCCAAAUGCUUGUGGUCCACAGCGCACCCCUGAAGCUUACAACUCUGCUGUCCUUCAUCUACAAACUGGAAGCAAUCAAGACGUCAAAGGAGUCAAGGUAAACUCUGAGUUUAACUCACUAAAGUCUUUUCAUGUCUGUGAACCUGGCCUUCCACCUUGCUUAGGCCAUGACUUAUUUGAGGGCAUCUUGUCAUAUGAUGUAGCACUGUACUUGAAAUAUUUUGUAAAAACAAAGAAAUGGUUUACUUAUUCCUUGUUGAACCGGCGAAUCAAACAGUUCAAGUACAAAGGAUCAGAUGCUCUCACAAAGCCAUGCUCAGUCAACUCUGAGGCAAACAGGCUUUCAGGUCAGGCUGUUCAAAACUGGAACCUGUUGAGACUUUUGCCUGUGAUCAUUGGUGACAAGAUACAAAAUCCACAAGAUGAUGUUUGGCAGACAACUCUCCAACUCAAAGACAUUGUUGAUUUGGUGUGUGCACAAAAAAUGUCUUUGCCACAAGUUGCCUAUCUUGACAUAAUAAUCCAAGAAUAUUUGGAAGCUCGAAAAUCUUUAUUCCCUGAAACUUCUCUUAAACCAAAACAUCAUUUCUUACGGCACUAUCCAGCACUAAUUUUGAAAUUUGGCCCUUUAAUUAGGUUGUGGACAAUGCGUUUUGAGAGUAAACAUGGCUACUUUAAGAGAUGCGCAAGGCAUUUAAAAAACUUUAAAAACAUAUGCCUAACACUGUCAGAAAGACAUCAGAUGUUUCAGGCAUACAUUUCAGCGGGCAGAAGCUGCAAUCGGCUGCUGCAGGUCAACGACAGUUGUGUUUUUUACUCCAACCUGUACAGCGAUGCAAUAAAACAGGCAGUAAAAGACCUUGGAUUUUCAGAAAACAAUACAAGUGUUUCCACAGAAAUCCAAUAUAAGGGAACAUUGUACAAAAAGGGGCAGUUCCUAGUAUCAAAAUAUGAUGAGUCUAUGGAGUUUGGACAACUUGUUUUAAUCCUCAUUCAAAAUGAAAAUGCAGUAUAUUUUGUUGUGGAUGUACAAACAGGUGUCUAUCAUUCUGAACACCACCUCUAUUCAGUAACAAAACAGAGUUCAAGCACUUUGUGUCUUAACAUAAAUGACUUGGUUGACUUUUACCCUUUGACAUCUUAUGAGGUAAAUGGACAACAAUUUAUUCCUCUGAAACACAGUGUGUUUUCAAAAUAGAAAAGUCUUUGAGUACUAUGAUGGAAAUCCCACUACAAAGCAAAACAGGGAAAGAAAAGAUUGAUAAAAACUUAAGGAUGUACAUAACUAAAAAGUGUGAGACAGAUAUGAUAUAUUUGACAUUAAGUGGAAGGCUUUUUGAUCUGUACAUAGUUCACUAAAUGUUUAAUUAAAAUUAUUGUCGUCUCUCUUAAAAUCUUGUCUAUUUUAUUCCAGAAAUGGCAGAACAAACAUUUCUACGUGGUGCUAUCAAUGACGUAUUGCCUGACCUCGCAGAGGUUUCAAAAGAAAUCCUCGAAGAAACUUUAAAGUCAAUUGGAGUGGAAACUUACAACGACUUCCAAUUUAUUGCCGAGGAUGACUUGCUAUCAGCGUUGAGGCCAGUACAAGCCAGAAAAGCCCUUGCUGCUUGGAAAUCCAGAUGAUCGUGAAAGCAGCAGGUCUCCAGUUUGUACUUCACCAGAAACUCCUGCAUCUCUGCAUUCUUCUUCCCCACUGAGCGUGUCAUCAAACUCCAACAGCAACCAGACAUCUGAAAUCGACUGGGUGGAUACCUUUGAGAUACCAUGGAGAAAGUUUCCAGAGGAACUGAUGCAGUCAUUGGAGAGAGGAAAACGGCCAAGUCCAAAAAUGAGGAGGGAGAUGGUC
Nothobranchius furzeri (turquoise killifish) is the source of this 6498-nucleotide non-coding RNA. NCBI's taxonomy places the organism in Eukaryota, Metazoa, Chordata, Actinopteri, Cyprinodontiformes, Nothobranchiidae. The record is from RefSeq and is a predicted model, not a curated record.